UACGAAGGGGGCUAGCGUUGUUCGGAAUUACUGGGCGUAAAGCGCACGUAGGCGGAUACUUAAGUCAGGGGUGAAAUCCCGGGGCUCAACCCCGGAACUGCCUUUGAUACUGGGUAUCUUGAGUUCGGAAGAGGUGAGUGGAAUUGCGAGUGUAGAGGUGAAAUUCGUAGAUAUUCGCAGGAACACCAGUGGCGAAGGCGGCUCACUGGUCCGAUACUGACGCUGAGGUGCGAAAGCGUGGGGAGCAAACAGG
Molecule: ribosomal RNA, 253 nt
Filed under: uncultured bacterium
Lineage: Bacteria
Description: partial 16S ribosomal RNA
Rfam family: Bacterial small subunit ribosomal RNA
Source: RNAcentral